RNAcentral lists this small nucleolar RNA (126 nucleotides) under Dasypus novemcinctus (nine-banded armadillo). Its description in RNAcentral is "Small nucleolar RNA SNORA31 (ENSDNOG00000029484.1)". Lineage: Eukaryota; Metazoa; Chordata; Mammalia; Cingulata; Dasypodidae. The record is from RNAcentral.
AUGCAUCUCUGACAGUCCUGGAACAGUUAAUGUCUGUUGCUAAGGUUGCCACUACAGAUACAAGGAAAAGAUCCUUGUGCUUUCUGUCUGGUUGUGGCAACCAAGACUGAAUUGGGGGGGUGGGGU